This 1051-nucleotide long non-coding RNA is filed under the name Marmota monax (woodchuck). Lineage: Eukaryota; Metazoa; Chordata; Mammalia; Rodentia; Sciuridae. The record is from RNAcentral.
UAACAGGGCUGCUCCAAUUUGACUGCGCAUAGCACCAGAACCACAUAGGCUUGUGGUGGGGCCUGAGGAUGUGCAUUUGGCACAAGUUUUCAACAAUCUAAUGCUGCUGGUCCAGGGUCCCCGCUUGAAGAACCACUGCUUUGUUAUAAUCAUCCUGAUCAUCAGGGCACCUGCAACCAAGGAGCUGGGUGUUGCUCAAGGAAAAUCACCCAACCCCACUGACUGCUUUCACUUAAAUUCAUGAUUACAGAUUCUAAAGGAGCCCUCAGUAACUGCCUGGCUGUCCUUUUCAAUUUCCCUAGUAAAGUCCCUUUGUCUAUUCUGUACUCUGUCCUCUCUCUGUCUUGCCUACUCUUCAAUUUCAGCAGAUAACCUCACCUCCCACACUUCAGUGAGGAACUAGAGUAGAGGCCAGGAAAUAGGAACUCUCUUCCCAAUGGUGCUUGAGGCUCCUCUGACUUUCCUCCUGUUACAAGGGAAAGACAGAUUUCUGUCUGUCACCAGUCAGUCUCCCCUUUGCUCUGCAUCCCAUCAGCCUCACCUUUUUUUUUUUUUUGUUUUUUUUUAAAGAGAGAGUAUGAGAGAGAGAGAAUUUUUUCAAUAUUUAUUUUCUAGUUUUCGGUGGACACAACAUCUUUGUUUGUAUGUGGUGCUGAGGAUCAAACCCGGACCGCACGCAUGCCAGGCAAGCGCGCUACCGCUUGAGCCACAUCCCCAGCCCAAGCCUCACCUUUCUUAGAGCUUUGCUUCUUCAAUCACUCCUUCCUUCUUAUGCUAUUAAUGUAUGUGUUGAUUGGGAUUGUUCCCCUCAUCCCCACCUUUAACCUGCUCUUGGCCCUGUAUUCCCUUCCAGCCACCAUUCCAUUUCUCUGCUCCCAUUUACAAAAAUUCUUGAAAAAGUUGUUGACUCACCAUGUUACCUCAUUUCCCUUUUGCUCUUAAAAAAAGUAUGUGGAGUCGGGUGUGGUGGCUCACACUUUUUUUUAAAAUUAAUUAAUUAAUUAAUUUUUAUUAUUAGUUGUUCAAAACAUUACAAAGCUCUUGAUAGGGC